Molecule: long non-coding RNA, 220 nt
Filed under: Hordeum vulgare
Lineage: Eukaryota; Viridiplantae; Streptophyta; Magnoliopsida; Poales; Poaceae
Description: long non-coding RNA (HVUL_LNC018512)
Source: RNAcentral
ACGUAAGAUAGCUGGGAAGCGAGGGUAUUGUCUUGAGCUCUGGCGUCGCAAUAGUGAACAUGACCUUGGUUCUUGUCUUUCACGUGUCUCCACCACCUCUGUUGCCUUCAUAUCAAUACUGUCGACAUCAUGGCGAGAGGGUAGUGCAAGGCGAUUGAGAAAACAAUGAUGCAUGGUUGGCAUCGUGUGAUGCAAACCAUUUGUGAUAACUAUAGAAGCG